AGAUCAGUGGCCCAAAGAAAUUAUCAGUUGAAGGAUGAGGAUUUCCUACCUCUGAUAUUUCUGAACCAAAAAGGAAAUGAUGAUGGGAGAAACUAUGAUGAGAUACCCUCCAGUUACCAGGCCUUCAUGAUCUCACCUCAUUCAUAAAAAGGGAUAACUCGAAGGAAUCAUCUGAUAGUCUCAUGGGAAGGUCACCCAUUCUUGCUAGCUCAUACUUGUUUGUACACUAAUCGAUCAUUUUCUAACCUGCCCUUGUUGCAUGGAUGUAUCAGAUCAGCGGUAAGGGAAGAAGCAGGACUCGGUGAUUAGGUAUUAAUUGUAGGACACAAACAUGUUGUAACCCCACUGACGUAGAAGCUCGUAGGUUUAGAAUCUAUAAUUUUACAAUGUUAUACGUUUAUUUUCUCGGGAUUUUGUUCCAAGCGGUGGGUGUAUUAGGGAUUUUGAUGCACAAGCUUGGUGUGAGCAUCUCUUAUGAACUGAUGCUUAAGAUCGAAAUUGUAGCAAUACCCCGGCCGAUGAUAGUUGAAAAAGAUUACUCUUUCAUAGCUGGAAAAAAAGGGCGACCUAGUGCUCUUUUUAUUAGCUGCUUAAUUAUAGGCUUAUGGUGAUA
This 613-nucleotide unclassified non-coding RNA is filed under the name Hevea brasiliensis (rubber tree). Lineage: Eukaryota; Viridiplantae; Streptophyta; Magnoliopsida; Malpighiales; Euphorbiaceae. The record is from RNAcentral.